This 2138-nucleotide long non-coding RNA is filed under the name Toxoplasma gondii VEG. Lineage: Eukaryota; Apicomplexa; Conoidasida; Eucoccidiorida; Sarcocystidae. The record is from RNAcentral.
UUCAUGUGUCUUGAUCUGCCGCAGAUAGUGGCGAUAUGACAAUAGGGGGUCUCAGAGGGAGGAAGGCGAGGAUGGAUGAGCAAAUCCUGAAAGUUAACCUGUGGCACGAUGAGGUCGUGAAAGUUGUAGGACAAGCUAUGGUGUGCAUCAGUGUUGAGAUUCUCUGGAACACUCCCGCCUUGUGGGACUUCAGGCCUGACCGAGCUUGCCAGUGGUGUAGUUUCAUGACAUGGACUGUUGAGAUCGGCUGCUUUCCUGUCUGCUUCCAUUCCAGGAACGCGAACUUGAGGCAGUACGCAGCCGAGAGGACCUCAAUAUGGUAGGAGCGCAUGAUGUCUGGGUUGUCCGGGGUUGUUGUAUCGGUAAAGCGGUAAGCCAAGUGGGCGAAUAGCGCGAGGUGCCCGUGUCGGACAGUGAAAGUGGCACACGACAUCGCGUUUGUGCUUUUUCCGGAGAGCCUGGUCCAUCAGGAACGUGUGGCGUAGCAUCCCGUCAACAAAGUUCCUCCGCUGGUUUACGGAGCUACAUAUUCCGUAAGAACCCUGUUCCCACGGGGUACUACAUAGAGGACGGAGACGGGUGAAGGUGGGUCAAAAUAGUAUAUCAGGCGAAAGCUCGAUUUGUUGUGUGAAUGGAGCCUGUGUAUAUCGUACUGUGCCUCUGGUGUUUACCAGAGGAUGAUGGAUUUCCUGGUUGCUUUGCCGUAGCCGUCUACGCAGUUCUUUAUGGAUGAUGGCUGGAGUCCUAUUCUCACUAACCGUGUACAGGUGGACACUUCUGGCCUUGUCAAUUCCUCUGCGAUAUCCGCACACAGUCGUCUCUCCCACGCCUUUGUUUAUGGGUGUUUAUAGUGCUGUAGUAGUAGCUUAGUUACCGUCUCUUGGAAGUUCCAUCACGUCACACAAGUGACGGGCCGUGAAUGUCCAAGUAUUAUGGAGACUGAAGAGUAGUCGAAGUAUACCACGCAUUUGUCAUCUGAGUUAUUGCCUUUGGGAUUUGUUUGCACUGAAAGUACCACGCACUGCACGUUCCCUGGCAGUCGAGGCUCGAGAUGACCUCAUCGGACUCCGAGCACAGCCGGUUGGGAGCUGCUGUAGGACUAAACACUGGAGAGCAGUGUGGUCGUGGAAGGGUGACGAGACGCGAUGUCUCUGGUGGGAAAGAGAUAUAGUGUGACCAUAUGUAAUUGUGAACCGGGAAUAAUUGUAGUGACGAGCGGGGUGCUGCAGUCAUAUGUUUGUUAAACAUAUCGAGGAUUGAAACUAGAGUGGAAUGAGAAUUGAAAUUAGUUGUGUUGCAGUUUAUGGAAAUGCGCUUCAUGUGCUGUAUCUCGCAACCACCUGUGUCCGGCCGUAUUACAGUUGGCCUCGUGUGUUAUUUGAUGAAACGAUGGAGACCGCAGGAAAGAAGGGGGAGUCGCUGUUUGCAUGGUCGACGGAACCCAGCGUCCUCAAGGAGCGCGUGGUUGUGAGUGAAGCUGGGUUUGGAUCCGCUAGAGUCGUGACCAAGUUGGAGUGGCUCGGCCCGUGGGACAGCAUGUCACAGUGGCGCGCCCAAUGGAAUAACCUGCGCACCAUCUCUGUCGGUCCGGACGGUUUUCUGUUUUUGUUUCGGUUCCACAGGCGCCGAUGAUGGCGCAGCGGCGCGAUGGCCAGCGACCGCUAAUGCGUACCAUCUCCGGUCAGAGAAGAGGUGGCUUGCGGGAGCGACUGUGUCGCGCUUUGUCAGUAUAUGACAUAACGAGCGGGCAAAUGUGCGUUGUCCUGCCGCUAUGCGUGCAGAUGUCGUGGAAUUGAAUGGUUUGGCGUGGCGCUUUCCUAACUGAGAGAAUAAUGUGUAGGCGGUGGCGGGCAACGUCCUUCCAUGUUGUUUAUCGAACGGUUGCACCACAAUUUUGCAGCUUCAGAAAGUAUUAAUGGGCAUGGCUCUCGAAGGGCACCAUCAUCAAUAGUGAAGUGCGAACUGGUAGUGGACAUGGCAGCCGUGCACAGUUCAUUUGCUGUUCAUUCCCUGGGCCGAAUCCGCCGGCAUGAUUACGGCAACCACUCGGCUUUGAGUGGGACGCAUGAAGGUGGGUUCAUGAAGUGCGAAGCUACCAUUGUCGGCCGUUGACCAAACUGGACACACGGGAACCGGUG